AUCCACCUGACGAGUCGCAAAUAGGACUAAACGUACAUCAUGGAU
Molecule: non-coding RNA, 45 nt
Filed under: Schistosoma haematobium
Lineage: Eukaryota; Metazoa; Platyhelminthes; Trematoda; Strigeidida; Schistosomatidae
Source: RNAcentral